Molecule: transfer RNA, 76 nt
Filed under: Marmota monax (woodchuck)
Lineage: Eukaryota; Metazoa; Chordata; Mammalia; Rodentia; Sciuridae
Description: tRNA.Ala
Rfam family: tRNA (bases 13-69)
About the family: Transfer RNA (tRNA) molecules are approximately 80 nucleotides in length. Their secondary structure includes four short double-helical elements and three loops (D, anti-codon, and T loops). Further hydrogen bonds mediate the characteristic L-shaped molecular structure. tRNAs have two regions of fundamental functional importance: the anti-codon, which is responsible for specific mRNA codon recognition, and the 3' end, to which the tRNAs corresponding amino acid is attached (by aminoacyl-tRNA synthetases). tRNAs cope with the degeneracy of the genetic code in two manners: having more than one tRNA (with a specific anti-codon) for a particular amino acid; and 'wobble' base-pairing, i.e. permitting non-standard base-pairing at the 3rd anti-codon position.
Source: RNAcentral
GUAUUGGGGAUAUAGCUCUAUGGUAGAGCACUUGCUUGGCAUGUGCAAGGCCCUGGGUUCAAUUCCCAGCAAAACA